Non-coding RNA from Leptonychotes weddellii (Weddell seal), 889 nucleotides. The record is from RefSeq and is a predicted model, not a curated record. Lineage: Eukaryota; Metazoa; Chordata; Mammalia; Carnivora; Phocidae.
UACCCAGUGCAGGAGGAGUAAAGGAAACUUAAGUUGGUGAUAUCUUUUCAACACAGGCAUGAAGAAGAGCCCAUCCUGGAUUUUCCUGCCGUGGAACUUCAGAGAAAGGCUGAUUUUUUCCAUGGCUUGUUUUUAUCUACCUCAGCAUUUCCUCUUCUUCAGUUUCCUUCUUCUGAAAGGAGUGCUGGUAAUGGCAAAGGCUGCAGAGCUCCUAAAACAAGACCCCAGGAUUUCCCAUUUCUAACCCUCAGCUGAUCUGCCUGCAAGGAAGAGGGGAAAUGCCAUGGGUUCCAGAUUUAAGGGAAAUUCAGGAUGAAGAAGACCAAAGCACUUGACCGACUGUACAUUGUGAGACCCUUCGGUUCAACAUCAUGAGCCUCAGCUACUUCCUGACUGCUAUCCAUUCCAUCUAUUGAGGUUUCUUUUUCUGCAGAGAAAAAAAAAAAAAAAGGAGGCUGGGUGACUUAAUGGGAGGAGAGAGAGAUGAACAAAGGUUAUGUGGAGAAGAGCAACUGAUGUGUCAAAUGCUAUCGCCCAGGCUUGUUAUGUCAAGGAAAGGCAGAGGAAGGUGGCAAGUGCUGUGUCAAGAAAUGGUUUAAAGCUUCAGGGAAUAUGGUAUCUCAACUGGGUCUCAGCAAUGAGUCGGAUUUCCGCAGAUGAAGGUGGGAGAGGAAGAGCAUGACACGUGACAGCAACUGCAAAGGCUGUGGCCCUGUGACCAAACGGUCUUUUUGUGUUCGGGCUUCCUUCCUUGUGAGGUGGGACAUGCCAGCACACUCUGGGAUGGAAGAACUGCCAAAAUGACUUCCAAAGUGGCUGUGCCAUUUGGCAUGUCUUCCCGCAAUGAAUGAGGGUUCCUGCUGCUCCACACCCCUAUCAGCAUUUUGUA